Molecule: ribosomal RNA, 407 nt
Filed under: uncultured bacterium
Lineage: Bacteria
Description: partial 16S ribosomal RNA
Rfam family: Bacterial small subunit ribosomal RNA
Source: RNAcentral
AUUGAACGCUGGCGGCAGGCCUAACACAUGCAAGUCGAGCGGAGCGGCGGACGGAUGAGUAAUGCCUAGGAAUCUGCCUGGUAGUGGGGGAUAACGUCCGGAAAUGGGCGCUAAUACCGUAUAUUAUAAGAUGAGCCUAGGUCGGAUUAGCUAGUUGGUGGGGUAAAGGCCUACCAAGGCGACGAUCCGUAACUGGUCUGAGAGGAUGAUCAGUCACACUGGAACGGAGACACGGUCCAGACUCCUACGUGAGGCAGCAGUGGGGAAUAUUGGACAAUGGGCGAAAGCCUGAUCCAGCGAUGCCGCGUGUGUGAAGAAGGUCUUCGGAUUGUAAGGCACUUUAAGUUGGGAGGCGUUACCAACAGAAUAAGCACCGGCUAACUUCGUGCCAGCAGCCGCGGUAAUUC